AACUGAACCGGACCUGUCAUUUAUCAAUUGGUUGCGUCAACAGCAUUUAUUUUAUAAAAAACUAGUUAAGUUGUCCAAAGUAAUUUAAUGAUACCAUUCACAGCGUUAUUCAAAUGGACCUUUUCACUGACGUAGUGAGGCAAUUACGUGCAUUUGCUAGCCUGUUCCAUUUACGUGUUCUCCGUAUGCUAAAGAGGAGUCUCGCCUAGCCUCUGAAGGAAGUGACUUGGAAGGAUCAGUCCUACCAAGGAAGUAUCCUUGACAUUGAGAAACGCCUAGUGUUCUUUGCUCCCUUCUCCCUUAGCACAGGGCAUCUGUUAAAGUUUAGUUCAAUUUGAGUUCAAUUUAGUUCAAUGUGAUGUCCACUUCGCAGUGCACUUACGGUCAAAUAGAACAAAUGUCCGAAGCGAUAAGAGAAACAUACAAAAUGGGCAGAACGGUGGGACACAGGGACAGGAAUUGAGAACAAGUGUUCUGGGUGCAUUUCUGAGUUAAUUCUAAAACCCAGAAUCUGGUACUGACAAUACAGCAUUUUGCAUCCUUGGUCAUCAGUGAAAACAGAUGCUGUUUGCAGCUGGAUGGUGAAUUAACAGGGCCAUGUUUGCUAGUAAAAGCUUGUCCCCCUGGUUCAAAGCACUAACAUAACACGUAAGACAGGUGUCCUCAACUCUGCAGACUUUAGUUCCAACCAGGAUUAAACACACCUGCAUGCAACUUUGUAGUAAUCCUGAAGACUCGAUUAGCUUGUUCAGGUGUGUUUGAUUAGGGUUUGAGCUUGAAGUUGAGCUUGAAGACCCCUGAUUUAAGCAAUAGUAAUAGUGGUGCUUGCCUAAGAAAUCUAAUUUGAUAAACUACAAAAAAAUCUGAAAUAGUAUAAUUUCACCUCUCUAUCUACAUGAGCAAAAAAUAAAUAAAAAAUGCAGUAUCUAUACUGUAAGUGUGCUACAUUGCAGCACAGAGAUCACAGGGUGAAUAUCAUGAAGCGGAGAUGAAGCUGUUAUUUGCUCUACCUCUGCUUACCACCACCUAACUUGGAGCAAACAUGACAAAAGAUCAUCUCCGUGAUCUCCACAUAUCUCCCCACCCUGAGUUUGAGAAGGCAGGACAUUCUGACAGGUGUCAGCAUGCAUCAAAAGACGCUCUCAAUCGGCAUUUGUGAAAAUGGAAAAAUAAAAAAUCCGCUGCUAA
Long non-coding RNA from Carassius gibelio (silver crucian carp), 1188 nucleotides. RefSeq lists it as uncharacterized. The record is from RefSeq and is a predicted model, not a curated record. The transcript has 2 exons. NCBI's taxonomy places the organism in Eukaryota, Metazoa, Chordata, Actinopteri, Cypriniformes, Cyprinidae.